GUGGGGAAUCUUAGACAAUGGGGGAAACCCUGAUCUAGCCAUGCCGCGUGAUCGAUGAAGGCCUUAGGGUUGUAAAGAUCUUUCAGCUGGGAAGAUAAUGACGGUACCAGCAGAAGAAGCCCCGGCUAACUCCGUGCCAGCAGCCGCGGUAAUACGGAGGGGGCUAGCGUUGUUCGGAAUUACUGGGCGUAAAGCGCACGUAGGCGGAUUGGAAAGUUGGGGGUGAAAUCCCGGGGCUCAACCCCGGAACUGCCUUCAAAACUCCCAGUCUUGAGGUCGAGAGAGGUGAGUGGAAUUCCGAGUGUAGAGGUGAAAUUCGUAGAUAUUCGGAGGAACACCAGUGGCGAAGGCGGCUCACUGGCUCGAUACUGACGCUGAGGUGCGAAAGCGUGGGGAGCAAACAGGAUUAGAAACCCUGGUAGUCC
RNAcentral lists this ribosomal RNA (425 nucleotides) under uncultured bacterium. RNAcentral describes it as "partial 16S ribosomal RNA". It matches the Rfam family "Bacterial small subunit ribosomal RNA", at positions 354 to 796 of the family's 1533-position model. The record is from RNAcentral.